GAUGAACGCUGGCGGCGUGCCUAAUACAUGCAAGUCGAGCGAACAGAUGAGGCGCUUGCUCCUCUGACGUUAGCGGCGGACGGGUGAGUAACACGUGGAUAACCUACCUAUAAGACUGGGAUAACUUCGGGAAACCGGCGCUAAUACCGGAUAAUAUAUUGAACCGCAUGGUUCAAUAGUGAAAGACGGUUUUGCUGUCACUUAUAGCUGGAUCCGCGCCGCAUUAGCUAGUUGGUAAGGUAACGGCUUACCAAGGCAACGAUGCGUAGCCGACCUGAGAGGGUGAUCGGCCACACUGGAACUGAGACACGGUCCAGACUCCUACGGGAGGCAGCAGUAGGGAAUCUUCCGCAAUGGGCGAAAGCCUGACGGAGCAACGCCGCGUGAGUGAUGAAGGUCUUCGGAUCGUAAAACUCUGUUAUUAGGGAAGAACAAAUGUGUAAGUAACUAUGCACGUCUUGACGGUACCUAAUCAGAAAGCCACGGCUAACUACGUG
This 497-nucleotide ribosomal RNA is filed under the name uncultured bacterium. RNAcentral describes it as "partial 16S ribosomal RNA". It matches the Rfam family "Bacterial small subunit ribosomal RNA", at positions 28 to 507 of the family's 1533-position model. The record is from RNAcentral.